AAGAUUAAGCCAUGCAUGUCUAAGUAUAAGCAAUUAUACCGCGAAACUGCGAAUGGCUCAUUAUAUAAGUUAUCGUUUAUUUGAUAGUACCUUACUACUUGGAUAACCGUGGUAAUUCUAGAGCUAAUACAUGCUAAAAAUCCCGACUUCGGAAGGGAUGUAUUUAUUAGAUUAAAAACCAAUGCCCUUCGGGGCUCACUGGUGAUUCAUGAUAACUCCUCGAAUCGCAUGGCCUUGUGCCGGCGAUGGUUCAUUCAAAUUUCUUCCCUAUCAACUUUCGAUGUUUGGGUAUUGGCCAAACAUGGUUGCAACGGGUAACGGAGGGUUAGGGCUCGACCCCGGAGAAGGAGCCUGAGAAACGGCUACUACAUCCAAGGAAGGCAGCAGGCGCGCAAAUUACCCAAUCCCGACACGGGGAGGUAGUGACAAUAAAUACUGAUACAGGGCUCUUUUGGGUCUUGUAAUUGGAAUGAGUACAAUUUAAAUCCCUUAACGAGGAACAAUUGGAGGGCAAGUCUGGUGCCAGCAGCCGCGGUAAUUCCAGCUCCAAUAGCGUAUAUUAAAGUUGUUGUGGUUAAAAAGCUCGUAGUUGAACCUUGGGCCUGGCUGGCCGGUCCGCCUCACCGCGUGUACUGGUCCGGCCGGGCCUUUCCCUCUGUGGAACCCCAUGCCCUUCACUGGGUGUGGCGGGGAAACAGGACUUUUACUGUGAAAAAAUUAGAGUGCUCCAGGCAGGCCUAUGCUCGAAUACAUUAGCAUGGAAUAAUAGAAUAGGACGUGUGGUUCUAUUUUGUUGGUUUCUAGGACCGCCGUAA
Molecule: ribosomal RNA, 815 nt
Filed under: Fusarium oxysporum
Lineage: Eukaryota; Fungi; Ascomycota; Sordariomycetes; Hypocreales; Nectriaceae
Description: SSU rRNA
Rfam family: Eukaryotic small subunit ribosomal RNA
Source: RNAcentral